Molecule: long non-coding RNA, 4319 nt
Organism: Phocoena sinus (vaquita)
Lineage: Eukaryota; Metazoa; Chordata; Mammalia; Artiodactyla; Phocoenidae
Source: Ensembl
GAGCCCCAGUUGCUUGCGCUGUCCAGAAAAAUUACCGUGAUGACAGUAACGAGAGCUUACAUUUAGAGAGUGCUUGCUAUGUGCUAGGCACUGUACAUACAUUUCCUCAUUGGAUCCUCACCAUGUAUCUAUGUUGAUAGGCACGGCAGUCUCCAUUACACAGGUAAGAAAACGGGGGCUCAGAACAGGAGAGUGACUUGCCCGAAGUCACACAGCUAUGAAAUGUCUGAGCUUGAUUCAAACUAGGUUUUUCUGACUGCAGAGUCCUUGUUCACCUUAGAGACUUUCUGGCCCUGCACCAUCCACUAGAAAUAUAAUGCAAGCCACAUUUGUAAUUACCAAUUUUCUAGUAGCCAUAUUUUUAAAAGUAAGAAAAAAAUAGAUGAAAAUAAUUUUAAUAAUAAAUUUUAUUUAACCCAGUAGAUCCAAAAUGUUACCACUUCAACACAUAUUAUCAAAAUUCAUUAAUGAAAUGUUUUACAUUCUUUUUCUCAUACUGUCUUUGAAAUCUGGUGUGUAUUUUAUACCUACAGCACAUCUCUAUUCAGAUACCAAAUUUUCACUGGAAACCUUUGAUUGGUAUUUAGAUUUCAUAAAGUUUCCAGUUGAAAAAAUUAGAUUCCCAUAAUCAGGUAUUUCCAAAUGUACUAAGGUUUUCCAAUAACUGAAUUAUCAGUUUUUAAAUUAAAAUCCAUUAAAAUGGAAUUAAAUUCAGUUCCUCAUUCACACCGCUUGCAUAUCACAUGCUCAGUAGCCACAUGUGGUUAGUAGCUACUGCAGUAGACUAAGCAGUUCUAAUCAAGGUCCCACACGAAACUGAGGCCCACAUAGAUUCACGUAACAAGCCAGAGCCAGAGCUUGUUCUAGAAACCUGGGGAAAUGCAGGUAAGCAGAGAUAUUCCAGCUUUGCCCACCUCAAUCUGCCUGCCCAUUCGUCAAUCCACUGUUCAUUUUUUUUUUUUUUUUUUUUGCGGUACGCGGGCCUCUCACUAUUGUGGCCUCUCCCGUUGCGGAGCACAGGCUCCGGACGCGCAGGCUCAGCAGCCAUGGCUCAUGGGCCCAGCUGCUCUGCGGCAUGUGGGAUCUUCCCGGACUGGGGCACGAACCCGUGUCCCCUGCAUCAGCAGGCGGACUCUCAACCAUUGCGCCACCAGGGAAGCCCCCACUGUUCAUUUGAGAAAUACAUAGUGCACACCUACUUUGUGCUAAUCCUUGGGUCCAGGAGCUGAUUUGCUGGGAGCAAGACUGACAGGCCCCCUUGCACGGGGAAAGCAAUUCAGCAGAAGCUCUCACAAUCAAAUGUGUGAUUGGGUAGACUCAUGGAAAUACCAGAGAGGACAGCGGGGACCUGACCUGCUCUGGGGGUGAGGGCAGGUUUCUCUCAGGAGGAGACCUGAAGCUGAUGUCCUUCUGAAGGAGCAGGCUAAAAAUCAGCUGCUGUUGCAAUAAUGCUGUGGACCAAAACAACUCCGGACUCUGUGGCCACAGCAACAAGCAUUUAUUUUCAUGCUUCUGGGGCUGCAUGUUGACUGCAGUUUGACCAUUAGAAGCUGGGCUUGGCUGGGUGGCUUUGGUCCAGGCUGUGGGUUGGGCUCAGGCCUACUCUAUGAUUUUCCUUCUGGAGCCCAGGAUGAAGGGGCAUCAGCUCCCAGGGCAUGUUCUCAUGGCAAUUCACUGGAGUUCAAAGACAAGCAAAGUGCACAAGCACAUUUAUAUCCUCUGCAUUUUGUCCGCUCUCAUUCCGUUGGCCAAAACAAGUCAUUUGGCUGAGGCUGAAUCAGUGGGGAAGGAGGAGGGGAAGAAGAAAUUGCUCUGUAACUGUUAGAACUGUCAGCAACCAGUAGGAGUUAGUCAGGUAGGAGGGGGAAUGGCAUCCCAGAUGACAGAUUCCCAAGGUGGGAUGGAACAUGAGCCUUCCAAGCUCCUGGAGAUCUGGACGGGGCAGGGGGUGUUGUUUUUAUCACCUUCAUUGCCCAAGACACAACGCUGUCUGAGACUCCACAAUAUGGCAGCUGAAAGGACCCUUGUUGUUGGAAUGUAGUGGGUGAUGGGUUGGGAGGUUGGAAAUGGUCCCUGGCCCUCACAUGGGCUGAUGUGUGUGGGAAAGGAUAGUAGGGAUGUUGGGAGUGGCUGGUGUGUGUGUGUGUGUGUGUGUGUGUGUGUGUGUGUGUGUGUGUGUGUGUAUAGGUGGGGGCAGCAUAACACGCACCAGAGAACAUCCCUCAUGCCCAUUCCAUGGGCAAUCAGAACUGGCAAGGGGUAGCUCUGACAUCUGACUUGCUGCCUCCUGCUCUGGCCACAAAAGGGGAAGGUGACAUCUCCUUCUGGGGCCACUAGGGGAAGAUCCAGAUUUGAAAGAGCACAGUUCUAAGAGGCCAAGAGACCUGGGUUGAAAUCCCGGCUCCUCUCUGACUCCCACAUUGGAAGCUCUAAAAAUGGCUUCCUUCCAGCUCUAGAAUCCCUCUCUCCUGUGAUUCUAGGAGGACAAUACCGAGGCUGAAGAGGGAAGGGCCAUGUUGAAAUGAUAAGUAGGACCUGAAAUAGAGAAUUGAUGUGUCAGGAAGGACAGGGUCCAUGCUUGGGGUCACUGUGGAGAGUGAAUGGGUGUUGUCUGACCUUGGUAGCGUGGGUGGGAGGCUUCCCUCCUCAAUAUAACUCCUAUUGUGAUGGAGGUUCGGCCACCAUGGUGGGGCUCUGUGUGGCACAGGUGGCACCCCACCCCCGGCCGAGUUAGGUCAGAACAUCUUCCCCUUGUAGUAAAAACUUUGACAGGAAACCUGAAUAUUUCUCCAACUGGAGUCUUUAGAUCUCAGAGUUUCCAGGAACUUGUCUCUAGAGUCUAAAAGUUUUCCAGGAAUUCUGAAAUUUUGUAUUUUCGGUGCUGAUUAUUGCCUGAAAAGACCAGAGCACAUUCUAGAUUACCUGGAGAACCACAGUAAAAAACAAGAGCCAUAAUACAAUUCUUGGGCUGUGUUUGCCUUUGUAUAUUUGACUCAAUUGGCACCCAGCAGUCAUGUAAAGAGAUGCUGUGGAAUUUAUUGUGGUAUGUCUCAAACUCCUGAAAUCUGGGUUUGUUUUUUCCUCACUGCCCCAAGCCAUCGCACUGGCCCAGGACUCCACAAUCUCUGGACAACUGCCACAGCCUCCUCAAUACUCUACUGAUUUGUCUUCCCACCCUCCUACCCUCAGUGCAGUAUAUUUUCUACAUAGCAGCCACUUUAUAUGCAAAGAAAGUGGAAGUCAGCAGGGGGGACUGACUUGGCCAUGGCUAUCAUGGUAAGCAUCGGAGCCUUAAUGUGAACCAGCCAGUCUGACUUUGAAUUAGUCAGUCAGUGUUAAGAAUAGGACUUUGGGAUCAGACUGACCUGUGGGUGGAUCCCAGUUCUGCCAUACCCUAGUUAUGUGAGCAUCAGCACUCGACUACCUUUUUGUAUUUUCAGUUUUCUCACCUGUAACUUGGGCCAAUAAUAACCUCAUAGAGUUCUAAUGAGGUGUCGAAGAGGCCAGUUGUAGCAGGGGUUGUCAGGCCGCCCAGAGCCUUGGUAAUUCAGAAUGCUGGAGUCAGUGGCUGCAUUUUAUUGAUAGAGGGCUUUCUCCCAAACCACAGCCUUCCCUGCAUAGGCAGAGUAGAAGCACUGAGGAAUUAACACAUGUAGGAGUAUACUUCCACCAUGGCUGGUAGUAUAUAACUACCCCAGCUUCCUCUCCAUUUGGGUGAAAUAAUUCUGAGGUCUGUGUCUUACACUGUUUCUUAGAGCUCCCCAACAGAAUGAAGACCCAGAUGCCCACCUGGCUUGAUAACACCCUCCUUAUUGGCUGUCUCCCCUGUCUCAUUCCCUGAGUUACCUUAUCAGCGUCUCCUGUGAUCACCUGCCUGCACUCAAGUCCUUUUUUCAAGGUCUGCUUCUGGGGAACCCAAACUAAUACAUAAAGCAGUCAUUUGUUCAUUCAACAAGUAUUUAUUAAGGCCUCCUAUGAAUCAGACUCUGUGCUACGUCCUGGGGAUAUUGCCGUGAACAUGACAGAAUGUGUUGCUCCUCUCAGGGAGCUGAAUAUCUAGGAAAUAGGCAAUGGCAAAUAAACAAAAAAUGCUAUCAUUUUGGAUAGUGACAAAUACUGAGAAGAAAAUGAUGUGAUAGUGAUGGGAGCCUUUUACAUGGGGUAGUCAGAGAGGGCCUCUCUGGAGAGCUGAAGGAUGAGAAGGCACCAGCCUUGAAACAAUUUGGGGGAACAUUCCAGAGAGAAUGUUCAAAGUACAAAGGCUCUGAGAUAAACAUGUGCUUGGGGUAUUGAAGGAGCAAAAUAAAAUUGUGUAGUUG